Molecule: ribosomal RNA, 450 nt
Filed under: uncultured bacterium
Lineage: Bacteria
Description: partial 16S ribosomal RNA
Rfam family: Bacterial small subunit ribosomal RNA
Source: RNAcentral
GUGGGGAAUUUUGGACAAUGGGCGCAAGCCUGAUCCAGCAAUGCCGCGUGCAGGAUGAAGGCCUUCGGGUUGUAAACUGCUUUUGUACGGAACGAAAAGCCCUGGGUUAAUACCCUGGGGUCAUGACGGUACCGUAAGAAUAAGCACCGGCUAACUACGUGCCAGCAGCCGCGGUAAUACGUAGGGUGCAAGCGUUAAUCGGAAUUACUGGGCGUAAAGCGUGCGAAGGCGGUUUUGUAAGACAGGCGUGAGAUCCCCGGGCUCAACCUGGGAAUUGCGCUUGUGACUGCAAGGCUGGAGUGCGGCAGAGGGGGAUGGAAUUCCGCGUGUAGCAGUGAAAUGCGUAGAUAUGCGGAGGAACACCGAUGGCGAAGGCAAUCCCCUGGGCCUGCACUGACGCUCAUGCACGAAAGCGUGGGGAGCAAACAGGAUUAGAUACCCUUGUAGUCC